RNAcentral lists this ribosomal RNA (684 nucleotides) under Escherichia coli. Its description in RNAcentral is "partial 23S ribosomal RNA". It matches the Rfam family "Bacterial large subunit ribosomal RNA", at positions 614 to 1297 of the family's 2925-position model. Lineage: Bacteria; Pseudomonadati; Pseudomonadota; Gammaproteobacteria; Enterobacterales; Enterobacteriaceae. The record is from RNAcentral.
AAUGGGUCAGCGACUUAUAUUCUGUAGCAAGGUUAACCGAAUAGGGGAGCCGAAGGGAAACCGAGUCUUAACUGGGCGUUAAGUUGCAGGGUAUAGACCCGAAACCCGGUGAUCUAGCCAUGGGCAGGUUGAAGGUUGGGUAACACUAACUGGAGGACCGAACCGACUAAUGUUGAAAAAUUAGCGGAUGACUUGUGGCUGGGGGUGAAAGGCCAAUCAAACCGGGAGAUAGCUGGUUCUCCCCGAAAGCUAUUUAGGUAGCGCCUCGUGAAUUCAUCUCCGGGGGUAGAGCACUGUUUCGGCAAGGGGGUCAUCCCGACUUACCAACCCGAUGCAAACUGCGAAUACCGGAGAAUGUUAUCACGGGAGACACACGGCGGGUGCUAACGUCCGUCGUGAAGAGGGAAACAACCCAGACCGCCAGCUAAGGUCCCAAAGUCAUGGUUAAGUGGGAAACGAUGUGGGAAGGCCCAGACAGCCAGGAUGUUGGCUUAGAAGCAGCCAUCAUUUAAAGAAAGCGUAAUAGCUCACUGGUCGAGUCGGCCUGCGCGGAAGAUGUAACGGGGCUAAACCAUGCACCGAAGCUGCGGCAGCGACGCUUAUGCGUUGUUGGGUAGGGGAGCGUUCUGUAAGCCUGUGAAGGUGUGCUGUGAGGCAUGCUGGAGGUAUCAGAAGUGCGAAUGC